This 429-nucleotide ribosomal RNA is filed under the name bacterium. RNAcentral describes it as "partial 16S ribosomal RNA". It matches the Rfam family "Bacterial small subunit ribosomal RNA", at positions 355 to 776 of the family's 1533-position model. The record is from RNAcentral. RNAcentral also lists the same sequence under 1 other name.
UAGGGAAUCUUCGGCAAUGGACGAAAGUCUGACCGAGCAACGCCGCGUGAGUGAAGAAGGUUUUCGGAUCGUAAAACUCUGUUGUUAGAGAAGAACAAGGACGUUAGUAACUGAACGUCCCCUGACGGUAUCUAACCAGAAAGCCACGGCUAACUACGUGCCAGCAGCCGCGGUAAUACGUAGGUGGCAAGCGUUGUCCGGAUUUAUUGGGCGUAAAGCGAGCGCAGGCGGUUUCUUAAGUCUGAUGUGAAAGCCCCCGGCUCAACCGGGGAGGGUCAUUGGAAACUGGGCGACUUGAGUGCAGAAGAGGAGAGUGGAAUUCCAUGUGUAGCGGUGAAAUGCGUAGAUAUAUGGAGGAACACCAGUGGCGAAGGCGGCUCUCUGGUCUGUAACUGACGCUGAGGCUCGAAAGCGUGGGGAGCAAACAGG